RNAcentral lists this long non-coding RNA (523 nucleotides) under Homo sapiens (human). RNAcentral describes it as "non-protein coding lnc-NFKBIZ-6:1". The record is from RNAcentral. Lineage: Eukaryota; Metazoa; Chordata; Mammalia; Primates; Hominidae.
AAGUAGAACUGAGGCUGGUACCUAGACUAUGGUGGGCUGAUUCGUAGAGGCUGGUUUGGACUGAAUGGAGAAGAGGUAAAACUGUGAGAAAGAGAGUGAAAAACAUGAAAAUCCAUGAGUCAAUAUGGGCCAAACCUAGGGCAAAUGUGUGGAGAUUUCAGGAAGACACAUGUUAUCUCAUCAAAAAGAAAGAGUUCUUGGUUGUCUGAGCUGCACUGAGCCUCAUGGAGAGUAAGUCUUCUGCUUCUGGAAGUUUUCAAACAGGUUGCAAAAGACUGCAGGCUCAAGUAUCCAGCUGAACUUGAGGAUGUGUAAGAUAUAUUCAGUAGAGAUAAGUUGUGUCGGCAGAUGGGGGCUGCUAGGAGAAAGCACAUUUUCACUGAUUUCAGGGCCAGCCCAACAUUAGAAUUCUUUCUCAUGAACCGCACUGCUGGGAUACAAUUUAAGAGUAUUCUCAUUUACCUGGUCUGGCUCUGUGAAACCUGCGUAAUGUAACUCAGAUCACCUGGAAUUUUUGUGAAGC